Molecule: unclassified non-coding RNA, 959 nt
Filed under: Hevea brasiliensis (rubber tree)
Lineage: Eukaryota; Viridiplantae; Streptophyta; Magnoliopsida; Malpighiales; Euphorbiaceae
Source: RNAcentral
CAUUGAUCAUGGUUGCUCUGAAUAAAAUUCUUAAGGAAGGGAGGUUAAGAAAGUACAAGAACAUGCCUUCGAAUAUUAUACAAAUCUGAAGCCAGCUGCAUUCCAAGGAGCCCUGCAUCUGAUGUGUUAUUCAUUUUCAAGAUGAUAUCUGAAUACUUCUGCUAAUCAAAACAGUCUAAUGUACAUUACCAGAACAAUGUGUACGGAAGAGUGAAGACUAUCCUAACCAGUGAAGCAACGGCCAAAUGUGUUUUAUUUAAUUUUUACAACUCAUAUUUCAGUUAUACAUUGAAUUUAUUAAGCUAAAUUGCUACGAGUUUGACAUAAUUUUUGUUUUCCUUAAUGAUUGUGCUACUUUUUGUCGUAUGCAUAAUCUCCCCAAUUUGAUUCAUCUAGACUCGUGAUUUUAUUCAAUCCCCAGUUUAAGAAAAAUCAUCUCAGCAAGUCGCCAUGUCCUGUCCAUUUGUGGGUUUAAGUUGCUGGAUUGAAUUUUCUACACAUUCGAGCGUCGACAGUGGCUUCACGUGCAAUAUUUCAUGAAUCGUAGCAAAAAAUUGAUAGCCCCCACUCCUCCUUUUCUUCUCUCAGCAAGUCAGUAGCUACAGAAGUUGAAGGGUGGGAGCAUUGCGCAUGUCCUCCUCCAGCCGCUGGCAGGAACUACAUUAUGCUAUUACAUGGUUUAGCAAGGCAAGAGCUCUCAUUACUUAUUCAAGCAACAUCAUGAUUUUCAUAUAGUGCAAUUCUUAUGUCAGAAACACUUCCCAACAGUUCCUAGGAGGAUCUUUUCUUGUAUUGACUCUGCCCCAGGCUCAACAGGAAGUCUGUAAAUAUAUGCUCAUAUUCUGGCAUUUUCCCAUAUCCUGCAAUAUUAAAAUAUCACGUUAAGUGUGUCUUUGACUCUUCCAGGCCAAAUUAAUGCAAAAACUAUUAAGGGCUUCAAAGAGAGUGUAUAAUGGUAA